ACUCCUACGGGAGGCAGCAGUGGGGAAUAUUGCACAAUGGGCGCAAGCCUGAUGCAGCAACGCCGCGUGAGGGACGACGGCCUUCGGGUUGUAAACCUCUUUUAGUAGGGAAGAAGCGAAAGUGACGGUACCUGCAGAAAAAGCACCGGUUAACUACGUGCCAGCAGCCGCGGUAAUACGUAGGGUGCAAGCGUUAUCCGGAAUUAUUGGGCGUAAAGAGCUCGUAGGCGGUUUGUCGCGUCUGCUGUGAAAACUGGAGGCUCAACCUCCAGCCUGCAGUGGGUACGGGCAGACUAGAGUGCGGUAGGGGAGAUUGGAAUUCCUGGUGUAGCGGUGGAAUGCGCAGAUAUCAGGAGGAACACCGAUGGCGAAGGCAGAUCUCUGGGCCGUAACUGACGCUGAGGAGCGAAAGCAUGGGGAGCGAACAGGAUUAGAUACCCUGGUAGUCCAUGCCGUAAACGUUGGGAACUAGAUGUAGGGGCCAUUCCACGGUUUCUGUGUCGCAGCUAACGCAUUAAGUUCCCCGCCUGGGGAGUACGGCCGCAAGGCUAAAACUCAAAGGAAUUGACGGGGGCCCGCACAAGCGGCGGAGCAUGCGGAUUAAUUCGAUGCAACGCGAAGAACCUUACCAAGGCUUGACAUAUACCGGAAAAGUUCAGAAAUGUUCUCCCCGCAAGGCCGGUAUACAGGUGGUGCAUGGUUGUCGUCAGCUCGUGUCGUGAGAUGUUGGGUUAAGUCCCGCAACGAGCGCAACCCUCGUUCUAUGUUGCCAGCACGUAAUGGUGGGAACUCAUAGGAGACUGCCGGGGUCAACUCGGA
RNAcentral lists this ribosomal RNA (819 nucleotides) under uncultured Actinomycetes bacterium. RNAcentral describes it as "bacterial SSU rRNA". It matches the Rfam family "Bacterial small subunit ribosomal RNA", at positions 335 to 1167 of the family's 1533-position model. Lineage: Bacteria; Bacillati; Actinomycetota; Actinomycetes. The record is from RNAcentral.